AUACGAAAGGUGCGAGCGUUGUUGGGAUUUACUGGGCGUAAAGCGAGUGUAGGUGGUUUGUUAAGUCGGAUGUGAAAUCCCGGGGCUCAACCUCGGAACUGCAUUCGAUACUGGCAGGCUAGAGUUCGGGAGGGGUAAGCGGAAUUCCGUGUGUAGCAGUGAAAUGCGUAGAUAUACGGAGGAACACCUGAGGCGAAGGCGGCUUACUGGACCGAUACUGACACUGAGACUCGAAGCGUGGGUAGCAAACAGGAUUAGAAACCCUAGUAGUCC
This 273-nucleotide ribosomal RNA is filed under the name uncultured bacterium. Its description in RNAcentral is "partial 16S ribosomal RNA". It matches the Rfam family "Bacterial small subunit ribosomal RNA", at positions 523 to 796 of the family's 1533-position model. The record is from RNAcentral.